This is a long non-coding RNA of Vicia villosa (hairy vetch), 662 nucleotides long. RefSeq lists it as uncharacterized. The record is from RefSeq and is a predicted model, not a curated record. NCBI's taxonomy places the organism in Eukaryota, Viridiplantae, Streptophyta, Magnoliopsida, Fabales, Fabaceae. The transcript has 2 exons.
CUAGUGAAUUUCAGGACACAAUGAUUAAAUUCUUCAAGUGUUUAUGAAAAUGACCAACAUCUGAAUGCAGUGGCGACGUUAGGGUCUGGCCAGGGUGGGCACUUGCCCAGGCUCGGGCCCAAUAAUUUUUUGAAGCCCAUAUGUCUGGAAAAAAAGGAUAAUCAUUUUCAGAAAGAGACAAACUAAAGGAAAAGGGUUUGCAGAGAAAGGGUUUCAUCUCUUACUCCCUCCGACGGCGGCGCUUACCACUCCGUCUCUUACUCCCUCCGACGGUGGCGCUUACCACUCUAUCUCUUACUCCUUCCGUCGGCGGCUCAUUAUAUUCACGUUUCAAUUUUCAUCUUCCUUCCUUCUCUCCAACCCAACUUUUUCCCAAUUCUUAUUCAAUUCAAUUUCUCUCCUUUUACCCAUAUUCACGUUUUCUCCCAAAAAAAACCAAUCAGCAAAAAUACAAUUUUUUUCUUGUUUGACUUUGUUGUCUGAAUCGCUUAUCGCAGAACACGGUCCAGGAAUCUCAGAAAUGAAGUGGUUUAUUGGAUAGAUUUUAAUGUGUGUGAAACUUGCAGCUUGAUGCAUGGUAGUUGGUUAUGAAUGUUUGAUUGAGUUAUGUAUAUGUAGGGAUUGGUUUUGGGUAUAAAGGGGCUGUUUUGAAUGAUUCUCAA